This 369-nucleotide long non-coding RNA is filed under the name Oryctolagus cuniculus (rabbit). RNAcentral describes it as "lncRNA (ENSOCUG00000031544.1)". Lineage: Eukaryota; Metazoa; Chordata; Mammalia; Lagomorpha; Leporidae. The record is from RNAcentral.
AUUUUACUGAUUUCUUUAAAAUAUUGAGGCUAUUUCUCUUGAUAGUAAAACCUGAAUUGAGCACCAGUAAUUUACAAUAAAGGAUCUCCCUUCCACCUUAUUCUUUUGUCUUAUUUCUCCACUCAGAAUUCAAGAAGCGAGAAGGGUGACACUGAGUUCCAGCAAGGUCAACAUCAUUAGUACGGCUGGUGGUGACAGCUCCCGUACAAUUCCAUGAACUGCAUUCCUUAAACACUGUGAGGACACCUGUUGCCCAGUCACACAAGUUCACAUCAGCUUUGUAGGAUCACAGCCAUCUGAUGCUGAGUACUGUUUUGUGCCUACAACUGACAUCCAGAGAGAAUCACAGCCAAAGACUUUAACUUCUGG